This is a long non-coding RNA of Adelges cooleyi (spruce gall adelgid), 1124 nucleotides long. RefSeq lists it as uncharacterized. The record is from RefSeq and is a predicted model, not a curated record. Lineage: Eukaryota; Metazoa; Arthropoda; Insecta; Hemiptera; Adelgidae. The transcript is spliced from 3 exons.
UCGUCCCAGUGAUGGUCUAGUACGGAUCUGUUAUGGUGCUGGGGAUGUUGCCUGUCCCAGAGUUCCGGUCGGCACAAGACUUCUGCAAUCAGGCAUUUCGUGUCCACCAAAUUUGAAUUUAGACCGGCCAUUUCCAAACGAUUGAUUUGCGAUUUUUCCCAGAAAAACAACACGACAAUCUACGGACCUUGGUGACAAACAGAUCUGAUAAGAACACUAUCGCAAUUUAUAGUGUGUACGUCGUAUACGCGUGAGCCUCGCCGGACGUUUACCCGCUCCCGCUGCAAGCGGGCGGCCACCGUCGUCGCCGCCGGUUUGUGUCGAUUCGGCGGCGGCAACAGUCUUGCCAACGUUGUUAACGUCGGCCGCCGCUGUUACCGGACGAAAUCGCCCCGCCGUCACCACCGAUCGGUCGCUGGUCAAUAUAUCAUUUUAUCGCCAAUUACCAUAAUACAUGGGUAUUGGCAACUUUAGCGGUUUAUUGCACUCUAAUGGCGCCGCUUUUGUUCCUAUCCUGGUUUAUGGCUUGUCCAUGGAUAUGAUUCUUCCAUAAAGUUACCUUGACUGCAACGAAAGUACUUAUUACCACGAAUGAUUACAAACUGUAUGCUCGACUACGGAAGAAGGUAUCCGCGGUCGACUCGAUGUCGGUUCGAUCGAUCCAGAAGACUUGAAGCGUCGUAUCAAUCAUUUGGACACGAUAGUUUUCCAUUGCCAGCUAGUACAAUAUGCCGGCUAAGGACAUACCUACUAUAAUGAUAAAUACAAUGUUACAUGGUUUACACCGGUGCACGUGAAACCAGAUUAUCCUAUACCAUAUACGAUUAAAGUUAUAGCUGGCCGUCGUUACAAUGACAUUUCGAGAUGACUGAACACCGAUGAAAAACAAUAGGAUUUAAUGAAAGUGUCAGUUCCGGUGUUCGGACGCUCGGCCAAGUGCCGAUAACGAAGAGCUUGGAUAUUGGAAUUUUAUCCCUCUUAAAAACGUCUUGGCUGCGCAUUAGUUUUUUUUUUAAAUAAAGAACCGCGUUAUUUAAAUAAUAUAAUAUUCAUAACAUUACAAAAAAACGAGUUUAUCGACUUAAUCAUUCGUUUUUGUUUUUGCGGCGCGGCAAUUAUAUUUU